AUGCCUUAAACUGAUGAGUAAGGAAAAUAACGAUGCGGGGUGACGCCCGCGUCCCUCGUAAUACUCACGAGAAGAAUUUUUGAAAGGGUACAGGUCUGCCUGCUGAGGUGACUCGCCUACUUUGCGAGAUGCCUUGCGGGAUUAGGAUCUACCCC
This 155-nucleotide small nuclear RNA is filed under the name Sphaeramia orbicularis (orbiculate cardinalfish). RNAcentral's name for it is "U12 minor spliceosomal RNA (ENSSORG00005002248.1)". It matches the Rfam family "U12 minor spliceosomal RNA". Rfam says of the family: Although the U12 sequence is very divergent from that of U2, the two are functionally analogous. Lineage: Eukaryota; Metazoa; Chordata; Actinopteri; Kurtiformes; Apogonidae. The record is from Rfam by way of RNAcentral.